UGGGGAAUUUUGGACAAUGGGCGAAAGCCUGAUCCAGCAAUGCCGCGUGUGUGAAGAAGGCCUUCGGGUUGUAAAGCACUUUUGUCCGGAAAGAAAUCCUUGGCUCUAAUACAGUCGGGGGAUGACGGUACCGGAAGAAUAAGCACCGGCUAACUACGUGCCAGCAGCCGCGGUAAUACGUAGGGUGCAAGCGUUAAUCGGAAUUACUGGGCGUAAAGCGUGCGCAGGCGGUUUGCUAAGACCGAUGUGAAAUCCCCGGGCUAACCUGGGAACUGCAUUGGUGACUGGCAGGCUAGAGUAUGGCAGAGGGGGGUAGAAUUCCACGUGUAGCAGUGAAAUGCGUAGAGAUGUGGAGGAAUACCGAUGGCGAAGGCAGCCCCCUGGGCCAAUACUGACGCUCAUGCACGAAAGCGUGGGGAGCAAACAGGAUUAGAUACCCUGGUAGUCCACGCCCUAAACGAUGUCAACUAGUUGUUGGGGAUUCAUUUCCUUAGUAACGUAGCUAACGCGUGAAGUUGACCGCCUGGGGAGUACGUCGCAAGAUUAAAACUUAAAUGAA
RNAcentral lists this ribosomal RNA (559 nucleotides) under uncultured bacterium. RNAcentral describes it as "partial 16S ribosomal RNA". It matches the Rfam family "Bacterial small subunit ribosomal RNA", at positions 355 to 909 of the family's 1533-position model. The record is from RNAcentral.